This 870-nucleotide ribosomal RNA is filed under the name uncultured Mycoplasma sp. RNAcentral's name for it is "bacterial SSU rRNA". It matches the Rfam family "Bacterial small subunit ribosomal RNA", at positions 513 to 1395 of the family's 1533-position model. Lineage: Bacteria; Bacillati; Mycoplasmatota; Mollicutes; Mycoplasmatales; Mycoplasmataceae. The record is from RNAcentral.
AGCCGCGGUAAUACAUAGGUCACAAGCGUUAUCCGGAAUUAUUGGGCGUAAGGCGUUCGUAGGCGGUUUGUUAGGUCUGGAGUUAAAGACUGGGGCUCAACCCCAGCCCGCUCUGGAUACAGGCUAACUAGAGUUACAUAGAGGUAAGUGGAAUUCUUAGUGGAGCGGUGAAAUGCGUAGAUAUUAGGAAGAACACCCAUGGCGAAGGCAGCUUACUGGAUGUACACUGACGCUCAGGGACGAAAGCGUGGGGAGCAAACAGGAUUAGAUACCCUGGUAGUCCACGCCGUAAACGAUGAUCAUUAGCCGCUAGAAUAUUUAGUGGCGCAGCUAACGCAUUAAAUGAUCCGCCUGAGUAGUAUGCUCGCAAGAGUGAAACUUAAAGGAAUUGACGGGGACCCGCACAAGCGGUGGAGCAUGUGGUUUAAUUUGAAGAUACGCGUAGAACCUUACCCACUCUUGACAUCUUCCGCAAUACUAUGGAGACAUAGUGGAGGUUAACGGAAUGACAGAUGGUGCAUGGUUGUCGUCAGCUCGUGCCGUGAGGUGUUAGGUUAAGUCCUGCAACGAGCGCAACCCCUGUCUUUAGUUACUAACGGAUAAUGCCGAGGACUCUAGAGAGACUGACUGGGUAACCAGUAGGAGGGUGGGGACGACGUCAAAUCAUCAUGCCUCUUACGAGUGGGGCAACACACGUGCUACAAUGGACGGUACAAAGAGAAGCAAUAUGGUGACAUGGAGCAAACCUCAAAAAACCGUUCUCAGUUCGGAUUGAAGUCUGAAACUCGACUUCAUGAAGUUGGAAUCGCUAGUAAUCGUAGAUCAGCUACGCUACGGUGAAUACGUUCUCGGGUCUUGUACACACCGCCC